AGUUUCUCUGGUUUGACCUUCAAGUAUACAACAAUGUAUGUAUGGGUUUGAGAUUGAUUUCUUCAUUUCUGUUUCUCUAUAAAUACCUACUCUUCAACAACUGAUAUAUGUACUUCUCAUCCUAAACUUGCAAUUAAUAUUAACUACAUAUAUAAAUAGAUUUUAUUUUUGUAAGAAAAAUAUGGCACCUCUCUACAAAUUGAAGUCACUUGUUUCUCUUUUAGCAAUACUUUUAUUACUCAUGUCAUCUAUUAUGGCUAUUGCUGCCCAAUCCAACGUUAAACUCGGACGAAAACUUUUCCAAAACACUUAUGUUGGCGGUUAUCCUACUACUGGCCCAGGUGGAGGCGGAGCAUAUCAUUAUCCAUAAAUAAAUAAAAAAAUACAUGGAAAAUCUCAACUUUACGGAACAUUACUUAGUCAUCUCUUCUGUCACUAUUAUAAAAAUAAAUAAAUAAAUAAAUAAAAUCAUUUUUUAAAUUCAAUGAAAAAUUAGUUAUAUGGUCAGUAAUAUAGACUAAAUACAUUACUUUUUUAAUGAAAUUAAAAAGUGAUUUUUUGUUUAUAAUAGUGUUUAGAGGGAGUAUUUAAUAUUUUUUUUUAUUUAAGGGGUUUAUUCAAAAUUCAAAUUACUUGUAUCCUAUUAUUUGGUUGUACUAUUAGAAUCUCAAUUUCAAAGCAACCAUGUGUAAUAUCAUGACCAGAGCUACUUAAUAAUCAUCAUCAGAGCUGUUUUGUAGCAUGUA
Trifolium pratense (red clover) is the source of this 746-nucleotide long non-coding RNA. RefSeq lists it as uncharacterized. The transcript has 2 exons. Lineage: Eukaryota; Viridiplantae; Streptophyta; Magnoliopsida; Fabales; Fabaceae. The record is from RefSeq and is a predicted model, not a curated record.